AAGUCGUAACAAGGUUUCCGUAGGUGAACCUGCGGAAGGAUCAUUACCACUUAAAAAAAUAAUCCAAAACCUUUAACCCAACCCACGUCCCGUGUGAAAUGUGUUCCCUUUCUUUUUCUUUUUCUGUCGAGUUCAAAAAGAGAAAAAAAAAGAAAAAACAUGUGAACGUUCAGUGUGAGGAGAAACGGGGUUCUCGAAAUUCCUCUCCUCGCCUGAAUGCUUCCAUGUUCUUCUUCUUCUUCUUCUUCUCUUUUCGACUUCACAAAAAAGAAAAAAGUUUGAGCCCCCACGUCCCUUUGAAAAUAAGUUGGAAAAAAAAGACAUGUUUUUUUGGAAAAAACAUUAACUGAGAGACAACUUUUAACGGUGGAUCUCUUGGCUCGU
This 384-nucleotide unclassified non-coding RNA is filed under the name fungal sp. Its description in RNAcentral is "partial internal transcribed spacer region". The stretch from base 1 to 46 matches the Rfam family "Eukaryotic small subunit ribosomal RNA", at positions 1786 to 1831 of the family's 1831-position model. The record is from RNAcentral. Lineage: Eukaryota; Fungi.